This 406-nucleotide ribosomal RNA is filed under the name uncultured bacterium. RNAcentral describes it as "partial 16S ribosomal RNA". It matches the Rfam family "Bacterial small subunit ribosomal RNA", at positions 30 to 526 of the family's 1533-position model. The record is from RNAcentral.
AUUGAACGCUGGCGGCAGGCCUAACACAUGCAAGUCGAACGAGUGGCGGACGGGUGAGUAAUGUCUGGGAAACUGCCUGAUGGAGGGGGAUAACUACUGGAAACGGUAGAUAAUACCGCAUACCCUCAGAUGCGCCCAGAGGGGAUUAGCUUGUAGGUGGGGUAAUGGCUCACCUAGGAGACGAGCCCUAGCUGGUCUGAGAGGAUGACCAGCCACACUGGAACGGAGACACGGUCCAGACUCCUACGGGAGGCAGCAGUGGGGAAUAUUGCACAAUGGGCGCAAGCCUGAUGCAGCCAUGCCGCGUGUAUGAAGAAGGCCCUCGGGUUGUAAAGUACUUUCAGCGAGGAGGCGUUACUCGCAGAAGAAGCACCGGCUAACUCCGUGCCAGCAGCCGCGGUAAUAC